Long non-coding RNA from Bufo bufo (common toad), 149 nucleotides. RefSeq lists it as uncharacterized. The record is from RefSeq and is a predicted model, not a curated record. The transcript is spliced from 3 exons. Lineage: Eukaryota; Metazoa; Chordata; Amphibia; Anura; Bufonidae.
AUAAAAUUCAUAAGAUGUUUUCAUUUUCUCUGUAUACGUGAUACAAUGUGGUGACAUUUGGAAAAGAACAAGCAUAAGCUAAAAAACCUAUAGAAGUGAACUGUGUGUGUUAAGAGAAGAUAAGAUUUGUACGACAACCGUAUAGUGGU